CCCAAUCCUUUAGUCCAAUCCCCAGAACAAUUUUUAGAAGCCCACCUGGCAUCAUGUUUCUUCUUUCUUCUUCCUCUAACGUCUGCGACCUCCCCGACGAAAAUACACCGAAACUUAAAAGCGUCGAGUGAUCUCCGUAAAGUCCCCCCCAUCCAUAAAUCCAUUCUGUACUCUGAGUUUUUCCUUGAUUAAUCAACUCCUCCCACCUGAAGCAUUCAAUCUAUCUACCUCUUUGUAUCCUACAGUAACCGGCGGAAGCAUUCAAUCUACCUCUUUAUUUAACAAUUGAUUCUUUUUCAGCUCGCUUCGUCUCUUUAAGCGAUCACUUCCUUUUCCCAAUUUCCUUUUUCAGUUACACAGAUUUCAUUUCACUUCGUCUCGCUUAAUAAUGGAGUUAGAAAGGCAGAUCAAACGAUUGUGAUGCUCUUUUUGGCUGCUGAAUCUCGUGCUCUGUCUGGAAAGUAAGGGAUCUAUUCUGCAAAAGCAUCUUUAGCCAUGCACAUCACCGACAUAAGUAAAUCUAUAUCUGAUAAACAAAGCUCAUUUUCAAUCGCUAAUUGGUAAGCAUAUAUUAUUUGUCUCAUCCCGCAACUAAGAAAGCCUUCUCUUCAAAGAAUCAGGAAAAUACCGGCUGUUGUUGAAUGUGUAUUCAGUGGAGAGACGCAGCUAAGCUAUCUAUGUAAUGAGACGCAAACUCAUGCAGAGAGAUGUCGAGAGAUUGAAGUUGAAACCGUGGAUUGAAUCGGUACGUUCUUUGAUCAAUGUGGGAGCUGAAGCAACUAUUCUUGAACAGGCAGAGAGAUAUGCUACAAACCAGAAACUGAAGAUUUGGGAGAAUUAUGUUAAAGGACAAGAACUAUCAAAUGGAAGUACAGCCUUAGAAACCUAACAAAAAAGAGACCUCUGUGAAUAUCUCUCUUCAGCACUACUCAGAUAGUUUUAAUACAUGUAUAAAAUAAGCAGCAAUCCAUUCAAGUUUCCUUACAUUGUGUAUGAUAAUAGGUUGCUGUCACAGAUGUACUUGGCGGUGGUCGAUUCUAUCUUCAGUCGGUUGGAGACCAGAAACUAGCUUCGAUUCAGAACCAUUUUGCAUCCAUGUGUGUUAAAGAUGAUCCCAUCAUCGCAUCCUUCAACUCUAAGAGAGGUGAUAUCGUUCUUGCACAGUUUCUCCUUGACUACUUUUGGAACCGUGCAAUGAUUGUGAAUGCACCACGAGGAGCUGUUGAGAUGAUAAAUUUGAAGUGUUCUAUAUCGAUUAUGGAAACCAUGAAGUAGUCCCUAUAGCGCAAUACCACCACUCCACCAGUAGACCCUUCGGUAUCAUUAGCACCAGGGCUUGCUUAGCUCUGGAGACUUGUCUACAUUAAGGUUCCAAGCUUGGAAGAAGAUUGUGGUCCUGAAGAAAAAAAUAUCUUCACUUCUGAUUUUGAGAUGAAGAACCGAGACGCCGUAACCUUUCAGAUGAUACCCGCUUCGUCUAAUGUUGCUGCAAUCAUUCACAUGUUGAUUGGAAUGUUUCACCGACUCGCUCCUCAUUGGCCAUUAGUGACUUAGAAAAAUUGUGAAAACGUUUAAAGAGUAAAUACGAGCUAAAGAGAAAGCAGAGUAAACAUAGUACUUUUUUUAGCACAUAAUAAACAUAGUAGUUUAUUCUCUU
RNA transcript from Brassica napus (rape), 1657 nucleotides. RefSeq lists it as uncharacterized. The transcript has 4 exons. Lineage: Eukaryota; Viridiplantae; Streptophyta; Magnoliopsida; Brassicales; Brassicaceae. The record is from RefSeq and is a predicted model, not a curated record.